RNAcentral lists this ribosomal RNA (679 nucleotides) under uncultured crenarchaeote. Its description in RNAcentral is "bacterial SSU rRNA". It matches the Rfam family "Archaeal small subunit ribosomal RNA", at positions 321 to 1002 of the family's 1478-position model. The record is from RNAcentral. Lineage: Archaea; Thermoproteati; Thermoproteota.
CCCUAUGGGGUGCAGCAGUCACGCAACCUCCGCAAUGCACGAAAGUGUGACGGGGUUAUCCCGAGUGCCGUUCGCUGAGAAUGGCUUUUCCCUAGUGUAAAUAGCUAGGGGAAUAAGGAGAGGGCAAGCCUGGUGUCAGCCGCCGCGGUAAUACCAGCUCUCCGAGUGGUGGGGACGCUUAUUGGGCCUAAAGCAUUCGUAGCCGGCUGGACAAGUCUUCUGUUAAAGCCAACGAUUUAAUCGUUGGACUGCGGGGGAUACUAUUCGGCUAGGAGACGGGAGAAGCCGACGGUAUUUCCAGGGUAGGGGUGAAAUCCUGUAAUCCUGGGAAGACCACCAGUGGCGAAGGCUGUCGGCUAGAACGCGCUCGACGGUGAGGGAUGAAAGCUAGGGUAGCGAACCGGAUUAGAUACCCGGGUAGUCCUAGCUGUAAACGAUGCAGGCUAGGUGUUAGGGCGGCUAUGUGCCGCUUUAGUGCCGCAGGGAAGCCGUUAAGCCUGCCGCCUGGGGAGUACGAUCGCAAGAUUGAAACUUAAAGGAAUUGGCGGGGGAGCACUACAAGGGGUGAAGCUUGCGGUUUAAUUGGAGUCAACGCCGGAAAUCUCACCGGGGCCGACAGCAGAAUGAAGGCCAGAUUAAAGGUCUUGCUAGACGAGCUGAGAAGUAGUGCAUGGGCCAA